CUAAGGUAUGCAAGUCGAAUGCCGAUUUAUCGGCAUGGCAGACGGCUGAGUAAUACAUGGGAAUCUACCUCAAACUCGAGAAUAGCCCAUCGAAAGGUGGUGUAAUACUCGGUAGUUCCGUUUACGGUAAAGCUCCGGCGGUUUGAGAUGAGCCCAUGUCCUAUCAGGUUGUUGGUGGGGUAAUUGCCUACCAAGCCUAUGACGGGUAGCUGGUUUGAGAGGAUGAUCAGCCAGACUGGGACUGCGAUACGGCCCAGACUCCUACGGGAGGCAGCAACUAGGAAUCAUGCGCAAUGGACGAAAGUCUGACGCUGCGACGUCGCGUGAGGGAUGAAGGUCUUCGGAUCGUAAACCUCUUUUAUCUGGGAACAAGUUCUGAGUGUACCAGAUGAAUAAGUGCCUGCCAACCACGUGCCAGAAGCAUCGGUAAUGCGUGGGGCACGAGCGUUAUCCGGAUUUACUGGGCGUAAAGAGAUGCGUAGGCGCCUUUUUAAGUCACUUGUAAAAUCUCCCCGCUCAACGGGGAAACUGCAAGUGAUACUGAAUUGGUUGAGUCAAGUAGAGGAGAGGGGAAUUCCUGGUGGAGCGGUUAAAUGCGUUGAUAUCAGGAGGAAUACCAAGUGCGAAGGCACCUCUCUGGACUUGUACUGACGCUAAGGCUCGAAAGUGUGGGGAGCAAAACGGAUUAGAUACCCGUGUAGUCCACACUGUAAACGAUCCCUGCUAG
This 727-nucleotide ribosomal RNA is filed under the name uncultured organism. Its description in RNAcentral is "bacterial SSU rRNA". It matches the Rfam family "Bacterial small subunit ribosomal RNA", at positions 48 to 819 of the family's 1533-position model. The record is from RNAcentral.